CUCGUCACUAUCCCACCGAGGUUAGUCUUGAUACUUACUAGGCACCGUCGUGGUGUGCUCAUACUACACUUCUAUAUAUUUUUGUGUACAGAUCCAGGUAUUGAUCGAUAGUAGCUGUGUAGAUGGUCGUGAUGGAGACUCACGGUAACCUGUUGCUGCAUUCGCAGGCCUCGGAGUCACCUUCGUUUGUAUUUUUGUUCCAUUGAUUCCUUCUCGUUCUGGAACAAUGUUGUAUUUAUUUUAUAUAAUUACUCUUAGAAAGGCUCAUGACUUGUACCACCGAUUUUGGGGAAUUGUGAUUUAU
Molecule: long non-coding RNA, 304 nt
Filed under: Nicotiana tabacum (common tobacco)
Lineage: Eukaryota; Viridiplantae; Streptophyta; Magnoliopsida; Solanales; Solanaceae
Description: long non-coding RNA (NTAB_LNC004409)
Source: RNAcentral